This 253-nucleotide ribosomal RNA is filed under the name uncultured bacterium. RNAcentral's name for it is "partial 16S ribosomal RNA". It matches the Rfam family "Bacterial small subunit ribosomal RNA", at positions 524 to 776 of the family's 1533-position model. The record is from RNAcentral.
UACGAAGGGUGCUAGCGUUGUUCGGAUUUACUGGGCGUAAAGCGCACGUAGGCGGAUCUUUAAGUCAGAGGUGAAAUCCCAAGGCUCAACCUUGGAACUGCCUUUGAUACUGGGGAUCUUGAGUCCGGGAGAGGUGAGUGGAACUGCGAGUGUAGAGGUGAAAUUCGUAGAUAUUCGCAAGAACACCAGUGGCGAAGGCGGCUCACUGGCCCGGUACUGACGCUGAGGUGCGAAAGCGUGGGGAGCAAACAGG